This 915-nucleotide ribosomal RNA is filed under the name Salmonella enterica. Its description in RNAcentral is "partial 23S ribosomal RNA". It matches the Rfam family "Bacterial large subunit ribosomal RNA", at positions 1243 to 2141 of the family's 2925-position model. The record is from RNAcentral. Lineage: Bacteria; Pseudomonadati; Pseudomonadota; Gammaproteobacteria; Enterobacterales; Enterobacteriaceae. RNAcentral also lists the same sequence under 1 other name.
UAAGCCAGUGAAGGUGUGUCGUGAGGCAUGCUGGAGGUAUCAGAAGUGCGAAUGCUGACAUAAGUAACGAUAAAGCGGGUGAAAAGCCCGCUCGCCGGAAGACCAAGGGUUCCUGUCCAACGUUAAUCGGGGCAGGGUGAGUCGACCCCUAAGGCGAGGCCGAAAGGCGUAGUCGAUGGGAAACGGGUUAAUAUUCCCGUACUUGGUGUUACUGCGAAGGGGGGACGGAGAAGGCUAUGUUGGCCGGGCGACGGUUGUCCCGGUUUAAGCGUGUAGGUGUGUGUUCCAGGUAAAUCCGGUUCACUUUAACACUGAGGCGUGACGACGAGGCACUACGGUGCUGAAGCAACAAAUGCCCUGCUUCCAGGAAAAGCCUCUAAGCAUCAGGUAACAUCAAAUCGUACCCCAAACCGACACAGGUGGUCAGGUAGAGAAUACCAAGGCGCUUGAGAGAACUCGGGUGAAGGAACUAGGCAAAAUGGUGCCGUAACUUCGGGAGAAGGCACGCUGACACGUAGGUGAAGUGAUUUACUCAUGGAGCUGAAGUCAGUCGAAGAUACCAGCUGGCUGCAACUGUUUAUUAAAAACACAGCACUGUGCAAACACGAAAGUGGACGUAUACGGUGUGACGCCUGCCCGGUGCCGGAAGGUUAAUUGAUGGGGUCAGCGCAAGCGAAGCUCCUGAUCGAAGCCCCGGUAAACGGCGGCCGUAACUAUAACGGUCCUAAGGUAGCGAAAUUCCUUGUCGGGUAAGUUCCGACCUGCACGAAUGGCGUAAUGAUGGCCAGGCUGUCUCCACCCGAGACUCAGUGAAAUUGAACUCGCUGUGAAGAUGCAGUGUACCCGCGGCAAGACGGAAAGACCCCGUGAACCUUUACUAUAGCUUGACACUGAACAUUGAGCCUUGAUGUGUAG